This 252-nucleotide ribosomal RNA is filed under the name uncultured bacterium. RNAcentral describes it as "partial 16S ribosomal RNA". It matches the Rfam family "Bacterial small subunit ribosomal RNA", at positions 524 to 776 of the family's 1533-position model. The record is from RNAcentral.
GACAGAGGGGGCAAGCGUUGUCCGGACUGACUGGGCGUAAAGCGCGCGCAGGCGGUCAGAGGCGUCGGUGCUCAAAGUCCACCGCUUAACGGUGGGAGGCGUGCCGAUACGCUCUGACUGGAGGGCGGGCGAGGGUGGUGGAAUUGCCGGUGUAGUGGUGAAAUGCGUAGAGAUCAGGAGGAACACCCAUGGCGAAGGCAGCACUCUGGACCGGACCUGACGCUGAGACGCGAAAGCGUGGGAGCGAACGGG